AUUGAACGCUGGCGGCAUGCCUUACACAUGCAAGUCGAACGGUAACAGGUCUUCGGACGCUGACGAGUGGCGAACGGGUGAGUAAUACAUCGGAACGUGCCCAGUCGUGGGGGAUAACUACUCGAAAGAGUAGCUAAUACCGCAUACGAUCUGAGGAUGAAAGCGGGGGACCUUCGGGCCUCGCGCGAUUGGAGCGGCCGAUGGCAGAUUAGGUAGUUGGUGGGAUAAAAGCUUACCAAGCCGACGAUCUGUAGCUGGUCUGAGAGGACGACCAGCCACACUGGGACUGAGACACGGCCCAGACUCCUACGGGAGGCAGCAGUGGGGAAUUUUGGACAAUGGGCGAAAGCCUGAUCCAGCAAUGCCGCGUGCAGGAUGAAGGCCUUCGGGUUGUAAACUGCUUUUGUACGGAACGAAAAAGCUCCUUCUAAUACAGGGGGCCCAUGACGGUACCGUAAGAAUAAGCACCGGCUAACUACGUGCCAGCAGCCGCCGCAG
RNAcentral lists this ribosomal RNA (498 nucleotides) under uncultured bacterium. RNAcentral's name for it is "partial 16S ribosomal RNA". It matches the Rfam family "Bacterial small subunit ribosomal RNA", at positions 30 to 523 of the family's 1533-position model. The record is from RNAcentral.